Molecule: long non-coding RNA, 329 nt
Organism: Octopus sinensis (East Asian common octopus)
Lineage: Eukaryota; Metazoa; Mollusca; Cephalopoda; Octopoda; Octopodidae
Exons: 3
Source: RefSeq, a predicted model, not a curated record
GGGGAACAUGCUUACAUGAUGAUAUACUACUUUAACCCAUUAAAGCGCUGGGAUUUGCGCUUACAUAGCACGGACUGCUGAGCACAUUUUAUAAAAAUGAGACUACUAUGCACACAUAAAAAACAAAAAAUAGUUAAAAUUCUUAGUAUAUAAUGGUGGCAAGUUUUAUUUCAUCUGAAAAAUCAUUAGUUGAACUAUCAGGUUUCUUGCAUUCUGGAGGGUAUCGGAGCAUUUGAGUGACAUUAAACCCCAACAAACGCCCAUAAAUUACAUGCAUCUAUCUGGGACACGAUCGUUGCCCGUCGCACUUUAUGAGUUAACCAUUGAAA